UCACUUUUAAAGGAUCUUAGUUUAACCCGUUAGCCUUAGGAGCUAAAACACUUGG
This 55-nucleotide transfer RNA is filed under the name Sphenomorphus melanopogon. Its description in RNAcentral is "partial tRNA-Leu". The record is from RNAcentral. Lineage: Eukaryota; Metazoa; Chordata; Lepidosauria; Squamata; Scincidae.